RNAcentral lists this ribosomal RNA (422 nucleotides) under uncultured bacterium. Its description in RNAcentral is "bacterial SSU rRNA". It matches the Rfam family "Bacterial small subunit ribosomal RNA", at positions 355 to 774 of the family's 1533-position model. The record is from RNAcentral.
UGAGGAAUAUUGGACAAUGGGCGCAAGCCUGAUCCAGCCAUGCCGCGUGCAGGAAGAAGCAUCUAUGGUGUGUAAACUGCUUUUGUACGGGAAGAAACACUCCUUCGUGAAGGAGCUUGACGGUACCGUAAGAAUAAGGAUCGGCUAACUCCGUGCCAGCAGCCGCGGUAAUACGGAGGAUCCAAGCGUUAUCCGGAAUCAUUGGGUUCAAAGGGUCCGUAGGCGGUUUAGUAAGUCAGUGGUGAAAGCCCAUCGCUCAACGAUGGAACGGCCAUUGAUACUGCUAGACUUGAAUUGUUAGGAAGUAACUAGAGUAUGUAGUGUAGCGGUGAAAUGCUUAGAUAUUACAUGGAAUACCACUUGCGAAGGCAGGUUACUACUUGUGGAUUGACGCUGAUGGACGAAAGCGUGGGGAGCGAACA